CCCAUCGAGGGUUGCUGCUGCCGCCACCGCCGCUGCCUCCAUCGCUCCUCCGGCUCUGGCCACCAAAGGAAGGCUGGCUUCUCCAGCGGAUCUUCUCCUCUUGGUGAUUUCCUCGUAGAAAGUUGCGGCGCUGCGCCUCCCCACAGUCCCGACAUCAAGGCGGGCGCCGCCACGAGGUCUCGUCCCGAGGAAGCCGCGGCAGGACGAGCACAAUCCAGACGAGGCCGAUGCGGUCGUCGGCGCCUCCUCCGCCUCGGGAUCGAACGGGCUGGUGGAGAGGGGCGCGGAUCUACGCCCUCCUCAGUCGAGGGUUGGACGGACCCUCGGCUGCGGCCUGCGGGGAAACAGCCGAUGGAGGCGAGCUCCUCCUCCCCCGCCGGCCCCGUGCCACCGCCCUCCACACCCCCGUCCGGUGACUAGGGCGUCUGGGCCGACGCCUCGCCGCGGCAUGCGCUGGAAGAAGACCUCUUUACGAUGACUUUUGGACGGCCUUUGAAUGGUGAAGGUGAUGAUAAGUGCCUGUCAGUUCUGAACUCAUUUGAAGAGACAAUAUCUCGUCAACUGCGUGCAUGUAAAUCCCAAGCAUUGUCGAAGAAAAAAACACUAGAAGGAUGGCAAGCUUUACGAGCGAGACUUGUUUUGCGAUGUAAUUUCAAGGGCCCUGUUAUUAACGGACAUUAUAGGAGAUAAAGAGUUCCAGUUGAAUGAGUUUGUAGUGCAACUAGGUCAGGUCAGCCACCAGGGUCAUUCCUUUUUCCAACCUUUACGUCACACAUAAUUGUUUCUUGCUUAUUAUUACUCAUGCAGUCAUAAAAAUAUAUAUGGAGAUCUGUACGUGGUGGUCGCUCAGAUCCCAACCGUGCUUCCACAGGUGUACCAGUUCCUCUAUGUAUAUUCUUUGAUUUUUUUAGUUCGGUUCAUCUUUCAUAGGUAAUCCUUUGCAACAAUUUUAUAAGAUGCUGAAAUCAAAGGUGUGGGCUCUAUUUGAUGAGUAGAGUCUGCUAUAAAAUCAAGAAGAACACAAGGAGUAUGGGUCUGCACGUGCCUAUAAGAAGAAGAUGGCUUGAGGUGAUUUUUUUUCCAGUUGCGUCAACGAUGAGAUCUUCAUCAUGGACCUCAAGAGGGGCGUCGUCUUCAUAGGUCUCUGGACAAACAGGUGCAAGGAGGGCUUUGUUUGGUGCAGCGCAGGGGAAUAGCCAAUAGAUGUUUAAAUGGCAGAUGUUUAGACUGCCAAGGAUUGGAUUAUAUUAGUCAAUACAGUGAACAUGUUGGUUUGUCGCCACUUGUUGUAAGCCACUUUAGAUGAUGAAUAGAUUACUAAAAACGUUUUAGUAUUUACCUUCCUUACAUAUACAUGAUUUACUACAUUUAUGUAUAUCUUGCCUUUCAGCUAAUGGUCAAAUUCACUUGAUCAAUUUUCGGUAUCCAAUCUGAUGAAUGGCUUGGUGUUCGACUAACCUGAGACUGAGAGCAUUUGUACAUAGUAUCCCUUCUACCUGAAAUUGUCCCAGUGAGACGACAACUAUGAGAACAUAAGCUAUUAACUCUAUAGGUAUGCAUUUAGAUUUCUGUGGUUCACGAUACACUGGUUUAUCUAUGCAUAAGUAAAGAUUUACCCUCAUUUCUAAUGAUUAGGCUGUCACAUUAUUUGAUUACUAAGUAUAUUUGGUUGUUUGCCGAUUUUGUAAUUUUUGUAUGGGAUGUACCAUUUUGUUGACCAUUCUAUGAUUUUCUAAUUAGAAAAUGGAUGUUUCCUGCAGAAAUUCUUUUGUUCCUCAAGAAAUCUCUCUCAUGCCAUAUUCAUUCGUGAACUAGGGAUAAUAGUUCAUGUCAUUUCAGGU
Molecule: long non-coding RNA, 1841 nt
Organism: Triticum aestivum (bread wheat)
Lineage: Eukaryota; Viridiplantae; Streptophyta; Magnoliopsida; Poales; Poaceae
Exons: 4
Source: RefSeq, a predicted model, not a curated record